RNAcentral lists this ribosomal RNA (513 nucleotides) under uncultured bacterium. Its description in RNAcentral is "partial 16S ribosomal RNA". It matches the Rfam family "Bacterial small subunit ribosomal RNA", at positions 28 to 523 of the family's 1533-position model. The record is from RNAcentral.
AGCGAACGUUAGCGGCGGGCCUAACACAUGCAAGUCGAGCGAGAAAGUGGCUUCGGCCACGAGUAAAGCGGCGGACGGGUGAGUAACACGUAGGUAAUCUUCCCUUGAGCGGGGGACAACGAGCCGAAAGGCUCGCUAAUACCGCAUACGUUUCCAGAGGCCCCGGUCUCUGGAAGGAAAGCUAGGCCGCAAGGUCUGGCACUCGAGGAGGAGCCUGCGUCGCAUCAGCUAGUUGGUGGGGUAACGGCCUACCAAGGCGAAGACGCGUAGCUGGGCUGAGGGGAUGAUCAGCCACGCUGGGACUUGGACACGGCCCAGACUCCUACGGGAGGCAGCAGUGGGGAAUAUUGGACAAUGGGCGCAAGCCUGAUCCAGCCACGCCGCGUGAGUGAUGAAGGCCUUCGGGUCGUAAAGCUCUGUGGGGAGGGACGAACCGCUGCACGUUCAUAGCGUGCAGCAUGACGGUACCUCCUUAGCAAGCACCGGCUAACUUCGUGCCAGCCGCCGCGGUAA